RNAcentral lists this microRNA precursor (79 nucleotides) under Agrilus planipennis (emerald ash borer). RNAcentral's name for it is "mir-184 microRNA precursor family". It matches the Rfam family "mir-184 microRNA precursor family". The record is from Rfam by way of RNAcentral. Lineage: Eukaryota; Metazoa; Arthropoda; Insecta; Coleoptera; Buprestidae.
UUUUUCUCGUUCCCUUGUCAUUCUCCCGCCCGGUGGUAAAUGACAACUGGACGGAGAACUGAUAAGGGCUCGAGGAGAC